This 405-nucleotide ribosomal RNA is filed under the name uncultured bacterium. RNAcentral describes it as "bacterial SSU rRNA". It matches the Rfam family "Bacterial small subunit ribosomal RNA", at positions 355 to 776 of the family's 1533-position model. The record is from RNAcentral.
UGGGGAAUAUUGCGCAAUGGACGAAAGUCUGACGCAGCGACGCCGCGUGGGGGAUGACGGCCUUCGGGUUGUAAACCUCUUUCAGCAGGGACGAAGGUGACGUGUACCUGCAGAAGAAGCGCCGGCUAACUACGUGCCAGCAGCCGCGGUAAUACGUAGGGCGCAAGCGUUGUCCGGAAUUAUUGGGCGUAAAGAGCUCGUAGGUGGCUGAUCGCGUCGGAUGUGAAAGCCCAUGGCUUAACUGUGGGUCUGCAUUCGAUACGGGUCGGCUUGAGGUAGGUAGGGGCAAGCGGAAUUCCUGGUGUAGCGGUGAAAUGCGCAGAUAUCAGGAGGAACACCGGUGGCGAAGGCGGCUUGCUGGGCCUUACCUGACGCUGAGGAGCGAAAGCGUGGGGAGCGAACAGG